Molecule: small RNA, 125 nt
Filed under: Marmota monax (woodchuck)
Lineage: Eukaryota; Metazoa; Chordata; Mammalia; Rodentia; Sciuridae
Source: RNAcentral
GGUGGGAGUGGUGGUGCAUGCCUGUAAUCCCAGUGAUUUGGGAGGCUGAGGCAGGAGGAUCGCAAGUUCAAAGCCAGAUUCAGCAAAACUGAGGUGCUAAGCAACUCAGUGAUACCCUGUCUCUA